RNAcentral lists this unclassified non-coding RNA (1299 nucleotides) under Hevea brasiliensis (rubber tree). The record is from RNAcentral. Lineage: Eukaryota; Viridiplantae; Streptophyta; Magnoliopsida; Malpighiales; Euphorbiaceae.
CCGCCCUGCGGCGAGUGUCCCUUUUGAGCAAAUGGAUAAAGGGACUGGCAAAAAUCAGCAGAACCGGCUUUGUUUGUUGGCUUCUCUUUCUGCGUUCUUCUGGAUUCUACUGUUGUAUUUCCAUUUUGUUGUAUUAGGAGGUAAUACUGUUGAUGAAUCUGUUAAAUUAGAGGCGCUUUCACUAAACACAGAAUCAAAAACUCCAACCCUUGUAACCGAUGCCCGUUUGACAAACACCCCCUCCAAAACUACGCCCUUGAUAGAUGCGUCAUUGAAAAAUACCCCCAGUAGCAGUAGUAGUCAAAAGACGGAGACUUUUCCAUUCAUGAGGGCUUUGAGAACCAUAGAGAAUAAGAGUGAUCCUUGCGGAGGAAAGUAUAUUUAUGUCCAUGAUUUGCCUCCUAGGUUCAAUGAGGAUAUGUUGAAGGAGUGUAGGAGUUUGAGUCUUUGGACCAAUAUGUGUAAGUUCACUAGUAAUGCUGGGUUGGGACCCCCACUGGAGAAUGUUGAAGGGGUGUUUUCAAAUACAGGGUGGUAUGCCACAAAUCAGUUUGCAGUGGAUGUGAUAUUCAGUAAUAGGAUGAAGCAGUAUGAGUGCUUAACGAAUGAUUCUUCUAUUGCUGCAGCAAUUUUUGUGCCAUUUUAUGCUGGGUUUGAUAUUGCAAGGUAUCUUUGGGGGUAUAAUAUCUCAACGAGGGAUGCUGCUUCCCUUGAUUUGGUCGAUUGGCUUAUGAAGAGGCCAGAGUGGGGGAUUAUGGGAGGCAGGGAUCAUUUUCUCGUGGCAGGGAGGAUAACAUGGGAUUUCAGGAGGUUAACAGAUGAGGAAUCGGACUGGGGCAACAAACUACUCUUUUUACCCGCUGCAAAAAAUAUGUCAAUGCUUGUGGUUGAAUCGAGUCCAUGGAAUGCGAAUGAUUUUGGCAUUCCUUAUCCUACCUAUUUCCAUCCUGCGAAGGAUGAUGAUGUGUUUAUUUGGCAAGAGCGGAUGAGGAAUUUAGAAAGAAAAUGGCUUUUCUCUUUUGCUGGGGCACCACGUCCCGAUAACCCCAAAUCAAUCAGAGGGCAGAUCAUAGAUCAGUGUAAGAAGUCAAAGGUGGGCAAACUGUUGGAAUGUGAUUUUGGAGAGAGCAAAUGUCAUUCUCCAAGCAGUAUAAUGCAGAUGUUUCAGAGCUCCCUUUUCUGCUUACAACCUCAGGGUGAUUCAUAUACACGAAGGUCAGCUUUUGACUCGAUGUUGGCAGGUUGCAUUCCUGUCUUCUUCCAUCCUGGCUCAGGAGGGAUCUUACUUAGCACUUCCUC